CAGCCGCCGCGGUAAUACGUAGGUGGCAAGCGUUGUCCGGAAUUAUUGGGCGUAAAGGGCUCGCAGGCGGUUUCUUAAGUCUGAUGUGAGAGCCCCCGGCUCAACCGGGGAGGGUCAUUGGAAACUGGGAAACUUGAGUGCAGAAGAGGAGAGUGGAAUUCCACGCGUAGCGGUGAAAUGCGUAGAGAUGUGGAGGAACACCAGUGGCGAAGGCGACUCUCUGGUCUGUAACUGACGCUGAGGAGCGAAAGCGUGGGGAGCGAACAGGAUUAGAUACCCGUGUAGUCCCUGUCUCUUAUAC
RNAcentral lists this ribosomal RNA (301 nucleotides) under uncultured bacterium. RNAcentral describes it as "partial 16S ribosomal RNA". It matches the Rfam family "Bacterial small subunit ribosomal RNA", at positions 509 to 807 of the family's 1533-position model. The record is from RNAcentral.